CCUACGGGAGGCUGCAGUGGGGAAUUUUGGGCAAUGGGCGAAAGCCUGACCCAGCAACGCCGCGUGAAGGAUGAAGUCUCUCGGGAUGUAAACUUCGUAAGAAUAGGAAGAAUAAAUGACGGUACUAUUUGUAAGGUCCGGCUAACUACGUGCCAGCAGCCGCGGUAAUACGUAGGGACCAAGCGUUGUUCGGAUUUACUGGGCGUAAAGGGCUCGUAGGCGGCGUGGUAAGUCACUUGUGAAAUCUCCGAGCUUAACUCGGAACGGUCAAGUGAUACUGCUGUGCUAGAGUACAGAAGGGGCAAUCGGAAUUCUUGGUGUAGCGGUGAAAUGCGUAGAUAUCAAGAGGAACACCUGAGGUGAAGACGGGUUGCUGGGCUGAUACUGACGCUGAAAGGCGAAAGCUAGGGUAGCAAACGGGCUUAGAUACCCGGGUAGUC
Molecule: ribosomal RNA, 440 nt
Filed under: uncultured Acidobacteriota bacterium
Lineage: Bacteria; Pseudomonadati; Acidobacteriota
Description: bacterial SSU rRNA
Rfam family: Bacterial small subunit ribosomal RNA
Source: RNAcentral